Molecule: small nuclear RNA, 104 nt
Organism: Jaculus jaculus (lesser Egyptian jerboa)
Lineage: Eukaryota; Metazoa; Chordata; Mammalia; Rodentia; Dipodidae
Source: RefSeq, a predicted model, not a curated record
GAUGGUUCACAGCCUUUUUUUUCCUCUUCCUUUUGGAAUGCUACAGAGAUUAGCAUGGCCCCUUCACAAGGAUGGCACACAUUCAUGAAGCACUCUAUAUAUUU